AGUGAACGCUGGCGGUAGGCCUGACACAUGCAAGUCGAACGGCAGCACAGUAAGAGCUUGCUCUUACGGGUGGCGAGUGGCGGACGGGUGAGGAAUACAUCGGAACCUACUUUUUCGUGGGGGAUAACGUAGGGAAACUUACGCUAAUACCGCAUACGACCUACGGGUGAAAGCAGGGGAUCUUCGGACCUUGCGCGAUUGAAUGAGCCGAUGUCGGAUUAGCUAGUUGGCGGGGUAAAGGCCCACCAAGGCGACGAUCCGUAGCUGGUCUGAGAGGAUGAUCAGCCACACUGGAACUGAGACACGGUCCAGACUCCUACGGGAGGCAGCAGUGGGGAAUAUUGGACAAUGGGCGCAAGCCUGAUCCAGCCAUACCGCGUGGGUGAAGAAGGCCUUCGGGUUGUAAAGCCCUUUUGUUGGGAAAGAAAAGCAGCAGGUUAAUACCCCGCUGUUCUGACGGUACCCAAAGAAUAAGCACCGGCUAACUUCGUG
RNAcentral lists this ribosomal RNA (492 nucleotides) under uncultured bacterium. RNAcentral describes it as "partial 16S ribosomal RNA". It matches the Rfam family "Bacterial small subunit ribosomal RNA", at positions 29 to 507 of the family's 1533-position model. The record is from RNAcentral.